UCAAAACUGAACCGAAAAUGCAAGACUUGCUUUAAUUGUUUUCCUUCAAUUUCUUUCUGUAUUAUUUACUAUAAUGGAUUCAUGUUAUUUACACUGUGCUAGAUCAAUACAUAUAAACACUGACAGAAAACAAUUAGAGCAAGUCUUGCAUUUUCGGUUCAGUUUUGA
Molecule: microRNA precursor, 168 nt
Filed under: Paramuricea clavata
Lineage: Eukaryota; Metazoa; Cnidaria; Anthozoa; Malacalcyonacea; Plexauridae
Source: RNAcentral